This 631-nucleotide unclassified non-coding RNA is filed under the name Hevea brasiliensis (rubber tree). The record is from RNAcentral. Lineage: Eukaryota; Viridiplantae; Streptophyta; Magnoliopsida; Malpighiales; Euphorbiaceae.
UUUUUUUUUUUUUUAUCUCUAUAAACCAAAAAAGAAAAGAACUCAUCCUAUCAUACUACUGAUGUGACCUAUGGCGAACAUGUUUAUGGAUAUUAAUUAUACUGAGACGUAGGCCAGAGUUUCCUGUGAUGUGUACCGUGUCCUCAUUUCCUUCCAUCAUUACCAGCAUUAUAUGGCUAUUAUUCAGUCCAAACUUGCCCACUACUACUGUUGCUAAGAGUUAUUGCUUAUGUACAAUAAUUGCCCACUUUCUAUUAUGUUUUCUAAUGAAGUACUUAGAGAGUUUUUGUGGACAGAAGUGGAGCAUAAUAGCACAAGUCCUGAGUUUAUUGCAGUAAUGCAUUUGAAUUCUUUAAGUUUAUUCAAAUCUCAUCCUAAAGAUUCAAGUCAUUUUAUAUUAUGCAUUCGGUCACUUACUUCAUGUUAUCCAUUUAGAUGGAACUGGUUUAAUUUAUUCUCUGUUGUCUCUUAUUGCAAUAAUAAUACACUUCCUAAUUUACAAGGAAUGAAAUUGAAUGCAUGAAGGUAUAUUGAUCUCUUUCAAUUUCCAUUUCCACUGCUACAUAAUAUUUGUGUUAAAACCUAACCUUCUCAGCAUGUACAUUACAGGGUAUUAUGUUAUGGUCUACAU